CAGAGCAGUGACGAAGAUACCAACAUAAUCCUUAAAAUAACAGGUAACACUGACCCAGUGAAACCUUAUUUCCUACCAGUAUGUCGGACUAUCUUGGGAGUCAAGCAUUCUAUGGGACAUUGUUUCUUUGUUAGUAAGUCACAGGGCCGGUAAUAAUAACUAACUGGUAGUUUAUGUUUCGGGGACUAAUAACCAGAUGAAUGCCUAACAGAGCCUGUUUGAAGAGAGUGAUUCCAGAAAAAAUUGGUCCUUGCAGAAGAAGCCAGUGAGGGAAAGAAGUGAGGGCCUCCGUGGCCUGGUUGGCCACCCGGAGAUGCGGGUUACAUGUGUUCAGCCCUCUGGUUGAAAAGGAGCAGACCUGUGUUAUUCUUCAGUAGUGGGUGGGAAGACAAGUCCAAUGCUUCUGUUACUUUACUGUGAAUUCCAGCAGGAGAAAAUGAAUGCUGAAGUAAUUAAAAUCAUCAAGAUUUGUUUUUUCCCUAUGGAUCUUUACAAAGCAACGUAAGACUGAAGCCCCCAGUCCUGCAACAUGUAUAUGAAUGAACCACUGCUGUGGCAGGGGGCCAUGGCACUUUACCAGCUGCAGCCAGAUCAAGGUACAGCAGCCACCAGAAAAUACUGAAUCUGAGAAUGCCUCCUUUCUGGAUGUACAUAUGAGGCCUUUAUACUUUGGAGUGAUAACAGGACAGAAUUUUGCAACCAAAGUCUGGGUAAUCCAAACAGAGCCGAGAUGUGGGGCAGAGGAAGCAAGUGAGACCCCCAGAAACACAGCCCCUGGGCCCACUGGUAGUGGGGAAUCCUUCAGCGUGAUUGUGGGGCUGCUUGUCAGCCCAGGACUCAUUUAUGCCACUAGCAUCACCUUCCAUUCUAGCUCCAGAAGUGGCUUUAUGUUCAUUUUGGUCCUUACCGUUGCAUGGUCUUGUUUCCAAAGCCUGUUCUGGACAGAGAUGUUGAUUCUCUAA
This 962-nucleotide long non-coding RNA is filed under the name Bubo bubo (Eurasian eagle-owl). Its description in RNAcentral is "lncRNA (ENSBOBG00000011324.1)". The record is from RNAcentral. Lineage: Eukaryota; Metazoa; Chordata; Aves; Strigiformes; Strigidae.